CACUCCAGUUGGCCAUCGACUUUAAUGUGCCUCUCACCACCAUCUGACGGAUGCAACAUAAUCCAAACCACUUCAGACCUCUGCGACUGUGUUUUGCUACCAGAACAAUUUGCUUGGAAUAAAAGGGCACAGCCAAAGCAUGUGCACAAACACAGCUCUCCAGUGGCUGCUCCUUUAGUAACCAUUCCUUGGGGUAGGAGGGCCCACAGCUUUAAUUUUGUGUAGGUUGGUGUACUUCAAUAUUGUUCUUUCUGUUGUUCCAUAAGACAUGGCCAAAGGUCCAAGGACAUUUCUUUAAUUGCUUUAUUCCACAGUGGGCAAGGUAUUUACUGUUAAUUCUUUAUCCCAUUCAUGCUUCAUUACGCUCAGAUUAACUCUUUGGUGGGUCAUUAGGAAAUCACACAGCAAAGCAGACAAUCUGGGAAAAUGUUAAAGCACUAUGAAAUGGGAGAGAUUCUGACUGUGUUUCCUGGCUAAACACUGGAGUCAGGAGAGGAAGGGUUUGAAUGCUCAUUUAUUGGCAGCACUUCCUAAUGUGUAUUGCAGUUUGGCAGAUGUAAAUGCUAGGAUUUGUAAUCGCUGGAUAUAUAAAAACUGUAUCACAUUUCAUCUGUUUUUCUUCUCACAUACAUCCAUUCCCAGACCGAGGCCUGGGAUUCCCAUGAAUGGAAAAGUCUGGAUUUUGGGCUGGCAAAAUAAAUGGACUGAGAUGAGACAGCUUGGGAGAUACUGGAGAUUAGGCCAUCUGGGGACCACCUGUAUCCUACACCUAAAAAUGAGUUCCCAGGGAUCUGAGAUGCUGGAAAGCCCCGAAUUGGAUUUUAGGCUCAGUGCAGCAACACAGGCUCCAGCCAAAUUGCAUCGUCCACCCUUUGAUCCUCCUACUGCUAUGAGCACUUCCAGUGGAUAUUCAUCACAGCAGGGUAUGACCCCACACAACCCAGGAAUAGACAGAGUAACUCAUUUUGCUAGGGUCGGGGAGGAAGUCUGUGAGGGAGCCAAGAAUAGAGCCCUGCUCCCGGUCGCGUGCCUUCUCCCCUCUCCUAUUCUUCCUCCCGGCGAGCGGCAAGACAAAUAGCCGGACACAUCAAAUCCACUGAGAUCAGGAGCUGAGUCAAAGGUCAGUGCUUGGGCACAAAGAUGCUUCUAUCUACAAGGCACUAAUCUGGGCCGCCGCUGAGCAUCAAAGCUGGUUUCGCCAUACAGAUGAGGCCCGGGGCAGGGGGUCAUGGCAGCGCGAUGAUUAGCUGCUUUGGGGAAAAGAAACUUAGUGAGAUGGGAGCGUGCAGAGCUGAAUGGGUAGAAAUCGGCCAAGUUAGGUGUCCAUUCAUGGGGCAGAGUGUCCCACUGUCUAUCUUUCUGAGAAAAGUGACAAACAGCUCAAGUCUCCCUUCUAAUUCUGCCUCUUGGUGUAGCCUUGCACCACCUGAGCAAUGCAGGCAUCCUGCUGCCCAUCACCCAGGGGAAGCAUGCACCUCCACAACCUGAGCUUCCAUGCCUGGAGAUGUGUACAACAUAAUUCUCAUUAUUUUCAGGAGAGGGUUGGCGGGACUUUGCCAGGUUGCAGCCAUAUGGAGGAAUCCUUUGUUUCCUUGUCAGCUCCAGGACUGCGGCCUACCCUUGCCCUUCCUCUGUGCCUGGAGGCCUUUGUCACUGAGGAGAUGCAUGGGGUUGUUCUUCUGACCAGAGGAGGUUUUAGAGGGUCCCCAGUCAUUAGUAUAAUCAUUUUCGAUUUUGAUUAAUCAUCAGCCCAGUGUAGAGCUGACAGAGGGAGAGGAAGGGAGGGCAGAUAGAGGAAGGAAACAGGGUUAAAUCUACAGCAGCAAACUGCAAUAACUCUGUUGGCCUUGAGGUUUAACUUGGGGUCUUUCUCUGCAUCUCUUUAGUUAGUCCAUUCACUGAUGAAAUAUUUCUUGCUGGCCUUUAUGCAGCUUUUUCAUCUCUGUCAUAUGUUACCUCCACAGAGGGCAUUUUGAGGGUCUGUAGAGGCUAGAUUUACAGGCCAGAGCCAAAGGAUGGCCUAGAGCAGUGUGGCUUUUUGAGCCCCUCUGCACUGUUUGGAGCUCUUCAGUCACUGUAGAGAAAACAGAAUCACAGGAUGGUUAAGAUUGGGAUUUCUGGAGGCCCUGCUCAAGCAAGACCACCUACAGCAGGCUGCCCAGGCUGACAUCCAGGGGACUCUUAAAGAUCUUCAAGGAGGAGACACCAGAACCUCCAGGGAAUGCCCCGGAGCUUCAGAUCUUGCAUUCAGACUUUAGCAUUUGUUGCCUGCAUAGGCUUAGCUACCUUUAAACUGCUGAAGGCCCUUAAAACGUGCGUGUAAAAAUCUAUGACACCUUUUAUUCUUCCCCUGAUAACUAUCCUCACUGUGCAGGUUAGGAGAACAGGGAACCCUUCCAGAAACCUUCAUUCCUGCAGCCUCAACCUCUUCCCAGACCUAAUCCCAUAUCACAGCCCAUCGUUGUCUCAUUCUGCAUGAUGCUUUGAACUCCACAUUACAGGACAGAAUUUGGCAGGUCUGGCCAGAGGCUUCUGUAACCAGACAGUGACCACCUCUUAGGACAAGCCCUCCAUGGACUUGGCACCAGCACAGAGACACUUGAGCUUGUUUUCAGACGCAGUGAUGGAGGAACACAGCCCGGCUGGCCCAAGAACCAGCUGCACCGUCUAUGAAAGCUACAGGUGGAAACGUGUUGGAUUUAUGCUUGCAGACUGUGCGGGUAGUCGGUCAGUGUGGAAAGAGCCAAAUUACGAAAUGCUGCCCGUGAAUACAUUAUCCAGCACGCAGCCUCUUGUCCUGCAUCCAGCUGGACAGAAGCUGCCUGCAAAGUGCUCGGCUUUAGCUCACUCCCAAGUCUGGAUGUGCUGCCUGCUCCCAUGUGUUGGUUGCUAUUAGAAGGCCUGUUCUAGGAUGUCUGAGAGCUGUCAUUUAUUAUACAUAGGAAGCUAUAAGAUGAAAUCUAUAUUUGCAGCUUCAGUAAACGAUAAUUCACAGGGGCUUGCCUGGUGGAGCAGGGAGUUAAUGUUGUUAAAACGCGACUCUUCCUGCAAAAAGCAACCCUUUAAUGACUCAGAUGCAGCUUAUAUGACUACCACACCACUUGCCUCCUGUCCAAAGAUCCGGACUCUGCUAAAGGGAUUAACUUCUUAGUGAGCUCUCCCAGCGUGGUGGCCAAGCUCCGACCUCAUAAUGGACCAGUUAAAAGGUCAUCCUUACUUAUGGCUGCAGCUUCCUUACACGAGAGCUUCCACACUCCCAUCUGGCACUGCAGGGCACCGAAGGCAAAUAUUGGAAUUUUAAUGUGUUAUUAAUGCAGCAAUAAAUGAAUCUUUCUGAUGCCUGUCUGCUUUCCG
Molecule: long non-coding RNA, 3354 nt
Filed under: Anas platyrhynchos platyrhynchos (common mallard)
Lineage: Eukaryota; Metazoa; Chordata; Aves; Anseriformes; Anatidae
Description: lncRNA (ENSAPLG00000021988.1)
Source: RNAcentral